UACGGGGGGGGCAAGCGUUGUUCGGAAUUACUGGGCGUAAAGGGCUCGUAGGCGGCCAACUAAGUCAGACGUGAAAUCCCUCGGCUUAACCGGGGAACUGCGUCUGAUACUGGAUGGCUUGAGGUUGGGAGAGGGAUGCGGAAUUCCAGGUGUAGCGGUGAAAUGCGUAGAUAUCGGGAGGAACCCCAGUGGCGAAGGCGGCUUGCUGGGCUACUCCUGACACUGAUGUACGAAAGCGUGGGGAGCGAACAGG
Molecule: ribosomal RNA, 253 nt
Filed under: uncultured bacterium
Lineage: Bacteria
Description: partial 16S ribosomal RNA
Rfam family: Bacterial small subunit ribosomal RNA
Source: RNAcentral